RNAcentral lists this small nucleolar RNA (90 nucleotides) under Plasmodiophora brassicae. RNAcentral's name for it is "Small nucleolar RNA snR60/Z15/Z230/Z193/J17". It matches the Rfam family "Small nucleolar RNA snR60/Z15/Z230/Z193/J17". From Rfam's summary of the family: The members of this family belong to the C/D class of snoRNAs which contain the C (UGAUGA) and D (CUGA) box motifs. The record is from Rfam by way of RNAcentral. Lineage: Eukaryota; Endomyxa; Phytomyxea; Plasmodiophorida; Plasmodiophoridae.
GUGUCCAUCAUGAUUAGUCUAUUCGCAUAGUUCACUCCUAAUCUUAUUGAGGAACAUAUAUUUGUCUUUCGCUCCUAUAUGAAUGGAUGC